This 465-nucleotide ribosomal RNA is filed under the name uncultured bacterium. RNAcentral's name for it is "partial 16S ribosomal RNA". It matches the Rfam family "Bacterial small subunit ribosomal RNA", at positions 28 to 507 of the family's 1533-position model. The record is from RNAcentral.
GACGAACGCUGGCGGCGUGCUUAACACAUGCAAGUCGAACGGAAAGGCCCUGCUUGCAGGGUACUCGAGUGGCGAACGGGUGAGUAACACGUGGGUGAUCUGCCCUGCACUUCGGGAUAAGCCUGGGAAACUGGGUCUAAUACCGGAUAGGAGCCAUUUUUAGUGUGAUGGUUGGAAAGUUUUUUCGGUGUAGGAUGAGCUCGCGGCCUAUCAGCUUGUUGGUGGGGUAAUGGCCUACCAAGGCGGCGACGGGUAGCCGGCCUGAGAGGGUGGACGGCCACAUUGGGACUGAGAUAAGGCCCAGACUCCGACGGGAGGCAGCAGGGGGGAAGAUUGCACAAUGGGCGCCAGCCUGAUGCAGCGACGCCGCGUGGGGGAUGACGGCCUUCGGGUUGGAAACUCCUUUCGCUAGGGACGAAGCUUUUUGUGACGGUACCUAGAUAAGAAGCACCGGCUAACUACGUG